CCUACGGGGGGCAGCAGUGGGGAAUAUUGCACAAUGGGCGAAACCCUGAUGCAGCAACGCCGCGUGAAUGAUGAAGUCCUUAGGUAUGUAAAGCUCUUUUGGUAGGGAAGAAAAUGACGGUACGUGAGUAAUAAGCACCGGCUAACUACGUGCCAGCAGCCGCGGUAAUACGUAGGGGGCAAGCGUUAUUCGGAUUUACUGGGGGUAAAGGCUGCGUAGACGGGCGCGUAAGUCUGGUGUGAAAGCCUGGGGCUGAACCCCCGGACUGCAUUGGAAACUGUCAGUCUGGAGUGCAGUAGAGGUAAGUGGAAUUCGUGGUGUAGCGGUGAAAUGCGUAGAGAUUACGAGGAACAC
RNAcentral lists this ribosomal RNA (354 nucleotides) under uncultured bacterium. RNAcentral describes it as "partial 16S ribosomal RNA". It matches the Rfam family "Bacterial small subunit ribosomal RNA", at positions 338 to 709 of the family's 1533-position model. The record is from RNAcentral.